Molecule: transfer RNA, 92 nt
Filed under: Nesterenkonia sp.
Lineage: Bacteria; Bacillati; Actinomycetota; Actinomycetes; Micrococcales; Micrococcaceae
Also listed under: 1 other name
Description: tRNA-Ser
Rfam family: tRNA
About the family: Transfer RNA (tRNA) molecules are approximately 80 nucleotides in length. Their secondary structure includes four short double-helical elements and three loops (D, anti-codon, and T loops).
Source: RNAcentral
GGAGGUGUGCCGGAGCGGCCGAACGGACUUCACUGCUAAUGAAGGAUCCCCUUAACCGGGGAUCGAGGGUUCAAAUCCCUCCACCUCCGCCA